UGAACGCUAGCGGCAGGCUUAACACAUGCAAGUCGAGGGGGUAGAGGAAGCUUGCUUCCUUGAGACCGGCGCACGGGUGCGUAACGCGUAUGCAAUCUACCUUUGCAGAGGGAUAGCCCAGAGAAAUUUGGAUUAAUACCUCAUAGUAUGUGAGGAUGGCAUCAUUUUCACAUUAAAGUCACAACGGCAAAAGAUGAGCAUGCGUCCCAUUAGCUAGUUGGUAAGGUAACGGCUUACCAAGGCUACGAUGGGUAGGGGUCCUGAGAGGGAGAUCCCCCACACUGGUACUGAGACACGGACCAGACUCCUACGGGAGGCAGCAGUGAGGAAUAUUGGACAAUGGGCGCAAGCCUGAUCCAGCCAUGCCGCGUGCAGGAAGAAGCAUCUAUGGUGUGUAAACUGCUUUUGUACGGGAAGAAACACUCCUACGUGUAGGAGCUUGACGGUACCGUAAGAAUAAGGAUCGGCUAACUCCGUG
RNAcentral lists this ribosomal RNA (478 nucleotides) under uncultured bacterium. RNAcentral describes it as "bacterial SSU rRNA". It matches the Rfam family "Bacterial small subunit ribosomal RNA", at positions 30 to 507 of the family's 1533-position model. The record is from RNAcentral.